CCCUACGGGGUGCACCAGGCGCGAAAACUUUACAAUGCGAGAAACCGUGAUAAGGGAACUCUGAGUGCCUGUUAAAUCGGGUCUGACCAGUGUAAAAAACUGGGGAAGAAAGGGCCCAUGACCG
RNAcentral lists this ribosomal RNA (124 nucleotides) under uncultured archaeon. Its description in RNAcentral is "partial 16S ribosomal RNA". It matches the Rfam family "Archaeal small subunit ribosomal RNA", at positions 321 to 454 of the family's 1478-position model. The record is from RNAcentral.